GAUGAACGCUGGCGGCGUGCCUAAUACAUGCAAGUCGAGCGAACAGACGAGGAGCUUGCUCCUCUGACGUUAGCGGCGGACGGGUGAGUAACACGUGGAUAACCUACCUAUAAGACUGAGAUAACUUCGGGAAACCGGAGCUAAUACCGGAUAAUAUAUUGAACCGCAUGGUUCAAUAGUGAAAGACGGUUUUGCUGUCACUUAUAGAUGGAUCCGCGCCGCAUUAGCUAGUUGGUAAGGUAACGGCUUACCAAGGCGACGAUGCGUAGCCGACCUGAGAGGGUGAUCGGCCACACUGGAACUGAGACACGGUCCAGACUCCUACGGGAGGCAGCAGUAGGGAAUCUUCCGCAAUGGGCGAAAGCCUGAUGGAGCAACGCCGCGUGAGUGAUGAAGGUCUUCGGAUCGUAAAACUCUGUUAUUAGGGAAGAACAAAUGUGUAAGUAACUAUGCACGUCUUGACGGUACCUAAUCAGAAAGCCACGGCUAACUACGUG
Molecule: ribosomal RNA, 497 nt
Filed under: uncultured bacterium
Lineage: Bacteria
Description: partial 16S ribosomal RNA
Rfam family: Bacterial small subunit ribosomal RNA
Source: RNAcentral